This 258-nucleotide ribosomal RNA is filed under the name uncultured bacterium. RNAcentral's name for it is "partial 16S ribosomal RNA". It matches the Rfam family "Bacterial small subunit ribosomal RNA", at positions 524 to 776 of the family's 1533-position model. The record is from RNAcentral.
UACGAAGGGGGCUAGCGUUGUUCGGAUUUACUGGGCGUAAAGGGCGCGUAGGCGGUCGUGACAAGUCACUUGUGAAAUCUCCGGGCUUAACUCGGAACGGUCAAGUGAUACUGUCGGACUAGAGUACAGAAGGGGCAACUGGAAUUCUCGGGUGUAGCGGUGAAAUGCGUAGAUAUCGGGAGGAACACCUGUGGCGAAAGCGGCGCACUGGGACCACAACUGACGCUGAGGCGCGAAAAGCUAGGGGGAGCAAACAGG